RNAcentral lists this ribosomal RNA (253 nucleotides) under uncultured bacterium. RNAcentral's name for it is "partial 16S ribosomal RNA". It matches the Rfam family "Bacterial small subunit ribosomal RNA", at positions 524 to 776 of the family's 1533-position model. The record is from RNAcentral.
UACGUAGGGGGCAAGCGUUGUCCGGAUUUAUUGGGCGUAAAGAGCGUGUAGGCGGCCUGUUGCGUCUGCCGUGAAAGUCCGGGGCUCAACUCCGGAUCUGCGGUGGGUACGGGCAGACUAGAGUGAUGUAGGGGAGACUGGAAUUCCUGGUGUAGCGGUGAAAUGCGCAGAUAUCAGGAGGAACACCGAUGGCGAAGGCAGGUCUCUGGGCAUUAACUGACGCUGAGGAGCGAAAGCAUGGGGAGCGAACAGG